AGAUAGCUUCUUUGAGGUUGGGCUCAAACUCAAGGCAAUCCUCCUGCCUCGCCCUCCUGAAGUACGGACUACAAAGAUGAGUCAAAUCCCACUUAAAUUUUUAAAGGUCCCGUUAGACACAAUUGGCUGGCCUGGGACUUGGGUGUGUAGAGUAGGCUGGAUUUGAACUUGGCACAGUCCUCCUCUCUGCUUCCCAUCAACACCCAGCCUUGUGGGGUUUUGUUAUUGUUGUUUGUGGCAUGUGUGUGUGUUAUGUGUGCACAAAUGUGUAUUUGUAUGGUCUGGGCACGUGGGUAGAGCCUGAGGUUGACAAUGGGCAUCUCCUGUAUGGCUCCACCUUAUCUAGAACUGGGGCAGGAUCUCUCAGUCGGGCCUAAAGCUCAUCAAUUCAUCUAGCUUAGCUGCCCAGCUUCUUCCCGGAUCCUGUCCCUCAAGAGCUGGGAGUACAGGCAGACUGCCACACCCACCCAACAUUCACACUCGAGUAACACAUACUUUAUCCUUUGAGUCAGCUCCCCAACCCCUGUAUUCAUUCAUUCAUUCAUCAUUCAUUCAUUCAUUCAUUCAUUCAUUCAUUCAUUCAUUCAUUCAAAAUUAUGGUCCAGGCCAGCCCAGAAGCUGAAUUUAAUAACUAAGAAUGAACCUGAGAGCUGGGGAGAGGACUCAGUGGUUACGCACACUUACUGCUCUUACAGAGGUCAGGAGUUUAUUUACAGCCACCUGUGACUCCAGGGGACCCAGGGUACACACACAGACACACACACACAGACACACACACACAGACACACAGGUAAAAAGUCAAGUCUUACACCAAGGAGUACCGCAUAAGGAAUGCCUACAUGGUGGGAACAGCUGUGCAGACAGGCAGGUGUGGAGACGUCUGAGGCCCACGCAUACGGGAGACCUCCUAUAAAAACAUCCCUCUUCCUCUUUUUCUCUCUCUGGUUUCUUUGAGACAGAGUCUCAUGUAGUUCAGGGUGAUCUCAACUCACUACAUAGCGAGGCUGGGUGUGAACACCUGAUCCUUCAACCCCAGUCUGGGAUUACAGGCAUGCAAUGCCACACUGAGGGCUACUCAUAAGACACUUCCUAAAACACACACUCACAGGACAGACAGGCAGGGUACAUGACGGGAGGGACAUUCUAUCACUGGCCGGCAAGAAACAGAAACAGGAGAUUCCGAAUCCAUCAAAUGCCUCCUAGAGACUAUGUUCUAGAACACAGAGGCACACGAGACCGUCCUCAGGCUGCGAGAGGUGAAGUGAGGGGUCAGUCAUGAAAGUCUCUUAGGCUAGAUUUCUCAGGGGUUGGACCUGAGGCCCUGCCAUUCCAAUCACCUAAAACUACUUCCUGGGUUUGAGAUUUAACUUGAAAGAACGUCCCAGUUAGUCACAAACAGAACCUCAAUGGUAGAAGCCAGUUCAGCAAUCCCAGAGAAAGCUGACUCAGGGACGCUAACAGAGGUUAUGGAAAUACCUGCGGGGAGAAUGUUUAGAGGCCGCUCACGUUGGGCCCCCAGGACACGGCAACCACUGCUGGGGUGCUUCUGACACGGACAUUACGGAUAGGCGGUUGGGCCAUCUACCAGUCGCCGCUACGGUGCGGAAUCGGCUUGUCAGCCUGUUUCUACUUCUUGAGCUUGUAUCUCCAUCGCAAAGACUAGCAACUGACACAACUGCCAGCCACGUACAGCAUGGUCUCCAGAGACAACACGUUCCAGAUCACACUCUUCCUGUGGCUGCAGAGACACCACAGAUGCCAACUUCUCCCCGCCCACCCUCUCCAGAAGGGUGCACCCACAGUCCUCCUGGGCUUCCUCCCACAUCUCCUGUGCUGGAGCAGCGACGGGCACAGCUAUGGGACUGCUGAUGGCAGGAGUCCCGGGCCAGGCAUGUGGCAGAGGCAUGAGCUAAGGGACAGACAGCUGCGACUGUUCUCCCUGGGCCCUGCAUGCCUCUAUACUGCAUAUUCAACUGCACACUGUCCUCUGCUGUGGCAGCUUCCAAGUCAGCGGGGCUGAAGCCUGCCUCCCACACAUCCCCGCGUGGCCCGGUCUGCUCCUGUGCCAUCUGAUGGAUAGGUUGGUUUUAGUCACACAUGGGUCUAAGAAGUCAGUCAGUCUUCCACUGGGGACACAGUGCAGACCCAGGGGACAACAGUGACCGAGUCGUCCAUCGCCCAGCACUCCAAGGUGUGCCGCUGUAAACCAGAGGAGAUGCUGGAAGCUCUCCAGGGAAAGAGCCCCGCUGUCUGUCAUCACACCCCAUGACAUUAGAUGUCGUUGGCAUCUAAUGAGCAGGUGCUAAUCUCUGAUCAGGAUACAGGGCAGGAGCGGAGCUGUGGGUGAGGAGCUAGAGUGGGCCUGAGCCAGCCCUAGGCUCCAUCACAGAAAGGGAUGAGGGAGGGGUUGGGGGAGGAGGGACGGAGAUUGGGAGUCAGAUAAAGGACCUGCAGGUCUUGUAAACCCUGUUCAAUCCCUAGACCCCACAUAGAUAGAUGAGAACUGACUCCAUAAACUUGUUCUCUGAUCACACACCUGUGCUGUGGCACUCGCAUGUGCACAAGCACAUACACCUCUCAUAUACACACAAUAAAAAUAAAAUAAAAGAAUUGAUCUCUAAAAAA
Molecule: non-coding RNA, 2625 nt
Organism: Rattus norvegicus (Norway rat)
Lineage: Eukaryota; Metazoa; Chordata; Mammalia; Rodentia; Muridae
Source: RefSeq, a predicted model, not a curated record